AGAGCCAGGGAGCGUCGCCAGCCUGGAAACAGGCCGGUGGCACCCUCCCGAACUCCACCCUUGAAUAAAUUACCUUUGUUGCUUUGGCGGGCACUCAACAGCCGAAGCCGCUGGCACGAGGCGGCCCGCCAGAGGACCACAACUCUUGUUUUUAGUGAUGUCUGAGUACUAUAUAGUAGUUAAAACUUUCAACUACGGAUCUCUUGGUUCU
RNAcentral lists this unclassified non-coding RNA (211 nucleotides) under rhizosphere metagenome. RNAcentral describes it as "partial ribosomal RNA internal transcribed spacer region". The record is from RNAcentral.